GGGCGUAAGAGCUCGUAGGCGGCUUGUCACGUCGGGUGUGAAAGCCCGGGGCUUAACCCCGGGUCUGCAUUCGAUACGGGCUAGCUAGAGUGUGGUAGGGGAGAUCGGAAUUCCUGGUGUAGCGGUGAAAUGCGCAGAUAUCAGGAGGAACACCGGUGGCGAAGGCGGAUCUCUGGGCCAUUACUGACGCUGAGGAGCGAAAGCGUGGGGAGCGAACAGGAUUAGAUACCCUGGUAGUCCACGCCGUAAACGGUGGGAACUAGGUGUUGGCGACAUUCCACGUCGUCGGUGCCGCAAAUAACGCAUUAAGUUCCCCGCC
RNAcentral lists this ribosomal RNA (319 nucleotides) under Streptomyces bobili. RNAcentral describes it as "bacterial SSU rRNA". It matches the Rfam family "Bacterial small subunit ribosomal RNA", at positions 556 to 873 of the family's 1533-position model. Lineage: Bacteria; Bacillati; Actinomycetota; Actinomycetes; Kitasatosporales; Streptomycetaceae. The record is from RNAcentral.